GGCAGCAUGGCUCAGUAGCAAGAGCCCGGGCUUGGCAGUCAGAGGUCAUGGGUUCGAAUCCCAGCUCUGCCA
Ornithorhynchus anatinus (platypus) is the source of this 72-nucleotide non-coding RNA. The record is from Rfam. NCBI's taxonomy places the organism in Eukaryota, Metazoa, Chordata, Mammalia, Monotremata, Ornithorhynchidae.